ACGAACGCUGGCGGCGUGCUUAACACAUGCAAGUCGAGCGGUAAGGCCCUUUCGGGGGUACACGAGCGGCGAACGGGUGAGUAACACGUGGGUGACCUGCCCUCAGCUCUGGGAUAAGCCCGGGAAACUGGGUCUAAUACUGGAUAUGACUCCAUGACGCAUGUUGUGGGGUGGAAAGCCUUGUGCGGCUGAGGAUGGGCCCGCGGCCUAUCAGCUUGUUGGUGGGGGAUGGCCUACCAAGGCGACGACGGGUAGCCGGCCUGAGAGGGCGACCGGCCACACUGGGACUGAGACACGGCCCAGACUCCUACGGGAGGCAGCAGUGGGGAAUCUUGCGCAAUGGGCGAGAGCCUGACGCAGCGACGCCGCGUGAGGGAUGACGGCCUGGU
RNAcentral lists this ribosomal RNA (389 nucleotides) under uncultured bacterium. RNAcentral's name for it is "bacterial SSU rRNA". It matches the Rfam family "Bacterial small subunit ribosomal RNA", at positions 29 to 420 of the family's 1533-position model. The record is from RNAcentral.